This 2096-nucleotide long non-coding RNA is filed under the name Lactuca sativa (garden lettuce). RNAcentral's name for it is "long non-coding RNA (LSAT_LNC007045)". The record is from RNAcentral. Lineage: Eukaryota; Viridiplantae; Streptophyta; Magnoliopsida; Asterales; Asteraceae.
ACGACACAUGAUAACGUUCACAUUUGCAAUAAAAAGACUUAUAUGUGUUAUUGUAUAUCAAUGCAAUUUUUUAAUAUUUUGAUGUAGAUUUCAUUAUAAACUAAGGAAGAACCCUGCGGGAGUUGCGGAGUUGGAAAGCAAUCACAUUUUCACAAUUCCAUUUACAAAAUUCUCGUAUGGCAUAUAUACAUCUCCUGAAAUUAAUUUGUUCCUAAACAGACCACCAUUAACUUCUAUCAUGUGCUUUUGCUCCUGUAUAUGGAUUUCAAGAAUGUGAAACAUCAAUAAAUAAUAAUUGUAUUUUCAUAGGUGACAAAUUACACUUAAGUCAUUUUCAUGUGAUGUGAUUUGUGAAAGCAAAUGGUUCAUGAGUUUCAGAGACCAAUCUAUAUCAACUUCUUAAAGCUGUUUGAACAGUUAAUAUGAGCAGAAAGAAUAGAAACAUGUUUUAGAAACAUGUAAAACAGUAGAACAUGAGAUCUUCCAGCAAGCUUGCAAUUGCUAACAAUGGCAGAAGUAGCAUACAACUAUCUCCCGAGUCCCAUCUGCAUGAAUCCGAUCAGAAAAACUUUGAGCAUGUGCACUAAAAACCAUCCUAGGCCUAAAAGCAUGGAAGAUAUAUUCAGUUGCGUUUGGUGGAAGCAUUUGUGAUAAUUCAUAUGGUCCAACCCCAAUAUGUUGGGUAGAAAAAAUAAUAACUUUAUGUUAGAAUUUAGAUACAAUAUUAUAACUUGUAACUACUAAAAGUCUAAUAGAUCUUUGUAUUUCUUUCUACCUUGUUUUUAAUGGUUCAGGUAAGUUAUUUUCUGUUUCAUGCAAUGGAAAGUGAGGAAAAAGUACAGGCAGAACAUAGCAACAUGGUUCGGGUCUUGAGUUGUUGUUUUCUAUUUCAUGCAAUGGAAAGUGAGGAAAAAGUACAGGCAGAACAUAGCAACACCACGAAAUUAAGUGAGACAAAAUUAACAUUACUGGUGGGUGUCAACUGUCGAGACCACCAAAUAAAAAAAACUAAAUACGACAACAUACAAAAAUGAAUUAUAGUAGCGGUAAUAGGGAUCGAAUCCCCAGGGAUUGAUUCGAAUGAAAUCUAUGUAUUUAGUUUCUAUAAAAUAAAUUAUAAAAUGAAGGGGGUUUUCUUAUAAUAUUAAAUGUGAUAAAAACUAUUUUGCAAAAAUAACUAAAAUGGAAAAAUACAAAAGCUAUAAAAUAAAACGUUUCAAUAUUGGGAUAAAUCACAAGUUCAACUAUUUGACAAAUCAUCAUAAUUUUGUGGUGCAAUGGGUUUAAUGGAUACUAAUUUGGUUAUAGCAAUCUAAGAAGUUUGAGAUCACAUAGACUUUUCUUAGUCAAUACAAUGGUUAAAGAAGCUCAUAACACAUUUUCUUAGUUAAAGUCACAAUUUUCAAGAAGCAUGUAAUUAAUGAAAAUUAACUAGCAUUAAGAUUUAAAAGUCACCAAAUCCAAGAGGAGUCAAAAUCUUUUCACUAUUAUGUUGGAGAAAUUACUUUCAUGAUUGUGUGAAAGGAAAGCAAUCACAAAAGCCAUUUGUUGCUUGUUAAUUUGAAGACAUAUUACGUAAUCAAGAAAUUAAUCAACUAAUUAAAUAUUCACAUAUCUAAACUCAUGAUUAAAAACAUAUGAACAUAAAUAGAUGUUCUACUAUAAAAUAUUUUCAUAGCAAACUAUCAAAUUACUCCUAAUCAAUUAAUUAUUCCAUAGAUUUACCUAAUAUUAAAAAUAAAAACUAACUACACACAAUAAUAAUAAUAAUAAUGACAAUAAAAUAAUAGAAAUUAUACCAAUACUGAUUAAGAAAUGAAGAUGAUAAAGCUUUAUGAAAUCGCCACUUCUUGUUGCUCCAAAAAACUUCAUUUAUAAUCCAAGUAUUAAUACAAAAAAUUAACCUAACCUAAUCUAAUGUAAAUAACAAAUUACAAGAUAAUAAAAUCAAUGAUAAUAUUAUUUGAAUUCCAAAAAUAAGAAAGGAAAAGAAAGGAGGAGACACCAAAGGCGCCGUCACUCCCUCUACUCCUUCUGCCGGCGAAAUGAAUGAGAUGCCCUACUGCAUCUUUUGAUUGUUGUGCAUUCAAUUCCCA